This 480-nucleotide ribosomal RNA is filed under the name uncultured Methanolinea sp. RNAcentral's name for it is "bacterial SSU rRNA". It matches the Rfam family "Archaeal small subunit ribosomal RNA", at positions 858 to 1338 of the family's 1478-position model. The record is from RNAcentral. Lineage: Archaea; Methanobacteriati; Methanobacteriota; Methanomicrobia; Methanomicrobiales; Methanoregulaceae.
AAAGGAAUUGACGGGGAGCACCACAACGGGUGGAGCUUGCGGUUUAAUUGGAUUCAACGCCGGAAAUCUUACCGGGACCGACAGCAAUAUGAAGGCCAGGCUGAAGACUUUGCCGGAUUAGCUGAGAGGUGGUGCAUGGCCGUCGUCAGUUCGUACUGUGAAGCAUCCUGUUAAGUCAGGCAACGAGCGAGACCCACGCCAACAGUUGCCAGCAUGUCCUCCGGGAUGAUGGGGACACUGUUGGGACCGCCUCUGCUAAAGAGGAGGAAGGAAUGGGCAACGGUAGGUCAGCAUGCCCCGAAUUAUCCGGGCUACACGCGGGCUACAAUGGUCAGGACAAUGGGUAUCGACACCGAGAGGUGGAGGCAAUCUCCUAAACCUGUCCUUAGUUCGGAUUGUGGGCUGCAACUCGCCCACAUGAAGCUGGAAUCCGUAGUAAUCGCGUUUCAAAAUAGCGCGGUGAAUAUGUCCCUGCUCCUU